CCAAUAGCGUAUAUUAAAGUUGUUGCAGUUAAAAAGCUCGUAGUUGAACUUCGGGGUUUACUCGUUGGUCAGGCUUAAUUGUCUGUACUGGUGAGAUGAAUCUCUACCUUCUGAGGAACUUUCAUGUCAUUUAUUUGGUGUGAUUGGAAAUCAGGACUGUUACUUUGAAAAAAUUAGAGUGUUUAAAGCAGGCUAACGUCUGAAUACAUUAGCAUGGAAUAAUGAAAUAGGACGGACUGAUUCUAUUUCGUUGGUUUCUAGGAUCACCGUAAUGAUUAAUAGGGAUAGUUGGGGGCAUUAGUAUUCAAUUGUCAGAGGUGAAAUUCUUGGAUUUAUUGAAGACUAACUACUGCGAAAGCAUUUGCCAAGGAUGUUUUCAUUAAUCAAGAACGAAAGUUAGGGGAUCGAAGACGAUCAGAUACCGUCGUAGUCUUAACCAUAAACUAUGCCGACUAGGGAUCGGACGAAGUUAAUUUUAUAAUGACGCGUUCGGCACCUUACG
This 502-nucleotide ribosomal RNA is filed under the name uncultured Glomeromycotina. RNAcentral's name for it is "partial small subunit ribosomal RNA". It matches the Rfam family "Eukaryotic small subunit ribosomal RNA", at positions 591 to 1092 of the family's 1831-position model. Lineage: Eukaryota; Fungi; Glomeromycota. The record is from RNAcentral.